UACGGAAGGUGCGAGCGUUAAUCGGAAUCACUGGGCGUAAAGAGCGCGUAGGCGGUUAGAUAAGUUGGGUGUGAAAGCCCUGGGCUCAACCUGGGAACUGCAUUCAAUACUGUCUGACUAGAGUGUAAUAGAGGGAGGCGGAAUUCCGCAUGUAGCGGUGAAAUGCGUAGAGAUGCGGAGGAACACCAAUGGCGAAGGCAGCCUCCUGGAUUAACACUGACGCUGAGGCGCGAAAGCGUGGGGAGCAAACAGGAUUAGAUACCCCAGUA
RNAcentral lists this ribosomal RNA (269 nucleotides) under uncultured prokaryote. Its description in RNAcentral is "partial 16S ribosomal RNA". It matches the Rfam family "Bacterial small subunit ribosomal RNA", at positions 524 to 792 of the family's 1533-position model. The record is from RNAcentral.